CCUACGGGGGACAGCAGUGAGGAAUAUUGGUCAAUGGACGAGAGUCUGAACCAGCCAAGUAGCGUGAAGGAUGACUGCCCUAUGGGUUGUAAACUUCUUUUAUAUGGGAAUAAAAUGUUCCACGUGUGGGAUUUUGUAUGUACCAUAUGAAUAAGGAUCGGCUAACUCCGUGCCAGCAGCCGCGGUAAUACGGAGGAUCCGAGCGUUAUCCGGAUUUAUUGGGUUUAAAGGGAGCGUAGGUGGAUUGUUAAGUCAGUUGUGAAAGUUUGCGGCUCAACCGUAAAAUUGCAGUUGAAACUGCCAGUCUUGAGUACAGUAGAGGUGGGCGGAAUUCGUGGUGUAGCGGUGAAAUGCUUAGAUAUCACGAAGAACUCCGAUUGCGAAGGCAGUUCACUGGACUGCAACUGACACUGAGGCUCGAAAGUGUGGGUAUCAAACAGGAUUAGAUACCCUUGUAGUC
RNAcentral lists this ribosomal RNA (460 nucleotides) under uncultured bacterium. Its description in RNAcentral is "partial 16S ribosomal RNA". It matches the Rfam family "Bacterial small subunit ribosomal RNA", at positions 338 to 795 of the family's 1533-position model. The record is from RNAcentral.